AACAAUUUUCUGUGAAAAUAAAAGAAAACUCAAUUUCAAAUUUUAUGAAGAAAACAUAAUAAAUUUCAAAUUACCUACUCUUAAGGACCCUUCUUUUGUUUUAAAACGAAAAAGAAACCAUAUUUAGCUUUUGAGAGUCGAGAAAAUUAAUUUGAAGUUCUCGAGUUGUUCUGAAAUUGAAAUGAAAGAAUUUUCUCAAAAAAAAAAAAAAUUACCAGUCAACAAAGUAAAAAAAAAUAAAAAUUAAUAAAAAAAGAAGUAAAACAAAACUUUGAAACAACUCAUGCAAAGCCCUUUUUGAACUGAAAUGCUUUUAACCCAUAUCCGGUUGGGAGAGCUCCUUCAGACGGACCAAACAACUAACGGAGCUAGCCGCACGAAUACCUCCUAAUCUCAAGGACACCACCAUCAUCGUAUAUAGUCAUCGUCAAAAGAAGCAGUUUUAUCGUCAUGAGUGCAAGGACGACUACAAGGAAGAGGGUGAAGCAGCCAGCAGCAGCCAACGCGACAUAAGAACGACAGCGGCGUCAAAAGUAAUUAAUUCAAGUGUACAAGGACAAAAAAGGAUUUUAUUCUCAAAUAAAAACAAGCAAAAAGAAAAAAAAAAAACAAAAUUGUAUAAAGUACAAACUUAAAACUAUAAAACAGUUGAAAACUUAAUAGCUAUGCGGUGUUGAGUUGGAAAUAGAAGCAGCAAAAGCAAAGAGAAAAAGAGUGGGACCAUCCCACUUUGCACACGGAGAAUUUUCAUUCGUUUUAAUUAGGAGGCAGGAUUCAUGAACCGACGUCAUCAUCAUCAUCAUCAUCAUAAUUAUCAUCAACAUCUUGAGCUUUCAUUAUAUUCUUUACUUUGUGCGAGAAUACCACCUGAAGUGGCACAUAUGUGGCUUGAUUCGGUUUGAAGGAGCCAACAACAUCUUGCUCUAGAGAGGAUUAUAGAAGAAAGCCUUCUGCUUUUCUCUGAUGUUGAUAUGCUGCUGCUGCUUCUGCUACCUCAUUUUUUGUGCUGCGCCAAAAACACUUGCCCCCGAAACCAAGCAAGUGAAAAAGGAAUCCUUUUCGGUAUGCUGCGAAUAAGAGUAUAGUCAAAUAUAUACACACACUUACGCUUGAGUGAA
Molecule: long non-coding RNA, 1118 nt
Organism: Episyrphus balteatus (marmalade hoverfly)
Lineage: Eukaryota; Metazoa; Arthropoda; Insecta; Diptera; Syrphidae
Exons: 3
Source: RefSeq, a predicted model, not a curated record